AAUUGGAGGGCAAGUCUGGUGCCAGCAGCCGCGGUAAUUCCAGCUCCAAUAGCGUAUAUUAAAGUUGUUGCAGUUAAAAAGCUCGUAGUUGAAUUUCGGGGUCAGCAGGUUGGUCGUGCCAAUGGUAUGAACUGGCCUUGCUGAUUCCUCCUUCUUGAUGAGCCGUAAUGCCAUUAAUUUGGUGUUGCGGGGAAUCAGGACUGUUACUUUGAAAAAAUUAGAGUGUUUAAAGCAGGCAUGCGCUUGAAUACAUUAGCAUGGAAUAAUGAAAUAGGACGUUCGAUCCUAUUUUGUUGGUUUCUAGGAUUGACGUAAUGAUUAAUAGGGAUAGUUGGGGGCAUUAGUAUUCAAUUGUCAGAGGUGAAAUUCUUGGAUUUAUUGAAGACUAACUACUGCGAAAGCAUUUGCCAAGGAUGUUUUCAUUAAUCAAGAACGAAAGUUAGGGGAUCGAAGACGAUCAGAUACCGUCGUAGUCUUAACCAUAAACUAUGCCGACUAGGGAUCGGAUGAUGUUAAUUUUUUAAUGACUCAUUCGGCGCCUUACGGGAAACCAAAGUGU
RNAcentral lists this ribosomal RNA (559 nucleotides) under uncultured Glomus. RNAcentral's name for it is "SSU rRNA". It matches the Rfam family "Eukaryotic small subunit ribosomal RNA", at positions 546 to 1106 of the family's 1831-position model. Lineage: Eukaryota; Fungi; Glomeromycota; Glomeromycetes; Glomerales; Glomeraceae. The record is from RNAcentral.